This 29-nucleotide small RNA is filed under the name Bombyx mori (domestic silkworm). RNAcentral's name for it is "ovarian small RNA-8395". Lineage: Eukaryota; Metazoa; Arthropoda; Insecta; Lepidoptera; Bombycidae. The record is from RNAcentral.
UGAUUAUCGCUAUAGAUCACCAAGGCCUC